RNAcentral lists this RNase P RNA (212 nucleotides) under Clostridium butyricum. RNAcentral's name for it is "bacterial RNase P". It matches the Rfam family "Bacterial RNase P class A", at positions 85 to 303 of the family's 367-position model. Rfam says of the family: Ribonuclease P (RNase P) is a ubiquitous endoribonuclease, found in archaea, bacteria and eukarya as well as chloroplasts and mitochondria. Its best characterised activity is the generation of mature 5'-ends of tRNAs by cleaving the 5'-leader elements of precursor-tRNAs. Lineage: Bacteria; Bacillati; Bacillota; Clostridia; Eubacteriales; Clostridiaceae. The record is from RNAcentral.
CCAGUCAAGGUGACUUGAAGGAAAGUGCAACAGAGAUAUACCGCCUGAGGAAACUUAGGUAAGGGUGGAAAGGUGAGGUAAGAGCUUACCAGCGUGAUGGCGACUUCACGGCUAUGUAAACCCCACUUGGAGCAAGACCGAAUAGAGAGGCAUUUAGGGGCUGCCCGUCCCGCCUCCGGGUGCGUCGCUUGAGCUUAUUGGCAACAAUAAGC